AUUGAACGCUGGCGGCAUGCCUUACACAUGCAAGUCGAACGGCAGCACGGGAGCAAUCCUGGUGGCGAGUGGCGAACGGGUGAGUAAUAUAUCGGAACGUGCCCAGUCGUGGGGGAUAACGCAGCGAAAGCUGUGCUAAUACCGCAUACGAUCUAUGGAUGAAAGCGGGGGAUCGCAAGACCUCGCGCGAUUGGAGCGGCCGAUAUCAGAUUAGCUAGUUGGUGAGGUAAAGGCUCACCAAGGCGACGAUCUGUAGCUGGUCUGAGAGGACGACCAGCCACACUGGAACGAAGACACGGUCCAGACUCCUACGGGAGGCAGCAGUGGGGAAUUUUGGACAAUGGGCGAAAGCCUGAUCCAGCAAUGCCGCGUGCAGGAUGAAGGCCUUCGGGUUGUAAACUGCUUUUGUACGGAACGAAACGGUGAGCUCUAAUACAGUUUGCUAAUGACGGUACCGUAAGAAUAAGCACCGGCUAACUACGUGCCAGCCGCCGCCGUAA
This 500-nucleotide ribosomal RNA is filed under the name uncultured bacterium. RNAcentral describes it as "partial 16S ribosomal RNA". It matches the Rfam family "Bacterial small subunit ribosomal RNA", at positions 30 to 523 of the family's 1533-position model. The record is from RNAcentral.